UGGUUAAACCGGCCGGACGGGACUGAAAGUGGGAGGGGACCAAGACACGCUAGUCGUGCGCUUUCUAGCCAUGAUGGAAGCGCGGCACACAGCUCAGUAGCACGUGGCUAACCUGCCCUUGGGACGGGAACAACCCCGGGACUUAAAGGAACUGGGGCCAAUUCCCGAUAGGUGAAGAUCCCUGGAAUGGGUUUUCGCCCGAAAAGACGUUUGGGUCAUGCUUUCAGGUUGCCCAAGGAUGGGGCCGC
This 248-nucleotide ribosomal RNA is filed under the name uncultured archaeon. RNAcentral's name for it is "partial 16S ribosomal RNA". It matches the Rfam family "Archaeal small subunit ribosomal RNA", at positions 5 to 218 of the family's 1478-position model. The record is from RNAcentral.